GGUGCAUGUGGUGAUCUGAA
This 20-nucleotide small nuclear RNA is filed under the name Arabidopsis thaliana (thale cress). RNAcentral's name for it is "snRNA_15803". Lineage: Eukaryota; Viridiplantae; Streptophyta; Magnoliopsida; Brassicales; Brassicaceae. The record is from RNAcentral.